This 2927-nucleotide ribosomal RNA is filed under the name Escherichia coli. RNAcentral's name for it is "23S ribosomal RNA". It matches the Rfam family "Bacterial large subunit ribosomal RNA". The record is from RNAcentral. Lineage: Bacteria; Pseudomonadati; Pseudomonadota; Gammaproteobacteria; Enterobacterales; Enterobacteriaceae.
GGGUUGUGAGGUUAAGCGACUAAGCGUACACGGUGGAUGCCCUGGCAGUCAGAGGCGAUGAAGGACGUGCUAAUCUGCGAUAAGCGUCGGUAAGGUGAUAUGAACCGUUAUAACCGGCGAUUUCCGAAUGGGGAAACCCAGUGUGUUUCGACACACUAUCAUUAACUGAAUCCAUAGGUUAAUGAGGCGAACCGGGGGAACUGAAACAUCUAAGUACCCCGAGGAAAAGAAAUCAACCGAGAUUCCCCCAGUAGCGGCGAGCGAACGGGGAGCAGCCCAGAGCCUGAAUCAGUGUGUGUGUUAGUGGAAGCGUCUGGAAAGGCGCGCGAUACAGGGUGACAGCCCCGUACACAAAAAUGCACAUGCUGUGAGCUCGAUGAGUAGGGCGGGACACGUGGUAUCCUGUCUGAAUAUGGGGGGACCAUCCUCCAAGGCUAAAUACUCCUGACUGACCGAUAGUGAACCAGUACCGUGAGGGAAAGGCGAAAAGAACCCCGGCGAGGGGAGUGAAAAAGAACCUGAAACCGUGUACGUACAAGCAGUGGGAGCACGCUUAGGCGUGUGACUGCGUACCUUUUGUAUAAUGGGUCAGCGACUUAUAUUCUGUAGCAAGGUUAACCGAAUAGGGGAGCCGAAGGGAAACCGAGUCUUAACUGGGCGUUAAGUUGCAGGGUAUAGACCCGAAACCCGGUGAUCUAGCCAUGGGCAGGUUGAAGGUUGGGUAACACUAACUGGAGGACCGAACCGACUAAUGUUGAAAAAUUAGCGGAUGACUUGUGGCUGGGGGUGAAAGGCCAAUCAAACCGGGAGAUAGCUGGUUCUCCCCGAAAGCUAUUUAGGUAGCGCCUCGUGAAUUCAUCUCCGGGGGUAGAGCACUGUUUCGGCAAGGGGGUCAUCCCGACUUACCAACCCGAUGCAAACUGCGAAUACCGGAGAAUGUUAUCACGGGAGACACACGGCGGGUGCUAACGUCCGUCGUGAAGAGGGAAACAACCCAGACCGCCAGCUAAGGUCCCAAAGUCAUGGUUAAGUGGGAAACGAUGUGGGAAGGCCCAGACAGCCAGGAUGUUGGCUUAGAAGCAGCCAUCAUUUAAAGAAAGCGUAAUAGCUCACUGGUCGAGUCGGCCUGCGCGGAAGAUGUAACGGGGCUAAACCAUGCACCGAAGCUGCGGCAGCGACGCUUAUGCGUUGUUGGGUAGGGGAGCGUUCUGUAAGCCUGCGAAGGUGUGCUGUGAGGCAUGCUGGAGGUAUCAGAAGUGCGAAUGCUGACAUAAGUAACGAUAAAGCGGGUGAAAAGCCCGCUCGCCGGAAGACCAAGGGUUCCUGUCCAACGUUAAUCGGGGCAGGGUGAGUCGACCCCUAAGGCGAGGCCGAAAGGCGUAGUCGAUGGGAAACAGGUUAAUAUUCCUGUACUUGGUGUUACUGCGAAGGGGGGACGGAGAAGGCUAUGUUGGCCGGGCGACGGUUGUCCCGGUUUAAGCGUGUAGGCUGGUUUUCCAGGCAAAUCCGGAAAAUCAAGGCUGAGGCGUGAUGACGAGGCACUACGGUGCUGAAGCAACAAAUGCCCUGCUUCCAGGAAAAGCCUCUAAGCAUCAGGUAACAUCAAAUCGUACCCCAAACCGACACAGGUGGUCAGGUAGAGAAUACCAAGGCGCUUGAGAGAACUCGGGUGAAGGAACUAGGCAAAAUGGUGCCGUAACUUCGGGAGAAGGCACGCUGAUAUGUAGGUGAAGUCCCUCGCGGAUGGAGCUGAAAUCAGUCGAAGAUACCAGCUGGCUGCAACUGUUUAUUAAAAACACAGCACUGUGCAAACACGAAAGUGGACGUAUACGGUGUGACGCCUGCCCGGUGCCGGAAGGUUAAUUGAUGGGGUUAGCCGCAAGGCGAAGCUCUUGAUCGAAGCCCCGGUAAACGGCGGCCGUAACUAUAACGGUCCUAAGGUAGCGAAAUUCCUUGUCGGGUAAGUUCCGACCUGCACGAAUGGCGUAAUGAUGGCCAGGCUGUCUCCACCCGAGACUCAGUGAAAUUGAACUCGCUGUGAAGAUGCAGUGUACCCGCGGCAAGACGGAAAGACCCCGUGAACCUUUACUAUAGCUUGACACUGAACAUUGAGCCUUGAUGUGUAGGAUAGGUGGGAGGCUUUGAAGUGUGGACGCCAGUCUGCAUGGAGCCGACCUUGAAAUACCACCCUUUAAUGUUUGAUGUUCUAACGUUGACCCGUGAUCCGGGUUGCGGACAGUGUCUGGUGGGUAGUUUGACUGGGGCGGUCUCCUCCUAAAGAGUAACGGAGGAGCACGAAGGUUGGCUAAUCCUGGUCGGACAUCAGGAGGUUAGUGCAAUGGCAUAAGCCAGCUUGACUGCGAGCGUGACGGCGCGAGCAGGUGCGAAAGCAGGUCAUAGUGAUCCGGUGGUUCUGAAUGGAAGGGCCAUCGCUCAACGGAUAAAAGGUACUCCGGGGAUAACAGGCUGAUACCGCCCAAGAGUUCAUAUCGACGGCGGUGUUUGGCACCUCGAUGUCGGCUCAUCACAUCCUGGGGCUGAAGUAGGUCCCAAGGGUAUGGCUGUUCGCCAUUUAAAGUGGUACGCGAGCUGGGUUUAGAACGUCGUGAGACAGUUCGGUCCCUAUCUGCCGUGGGCGCUGGAGAACUGAGGGGGGCUGCUCCUAGUACGAGAGGACCGGAGUGGACGCAUCACUGGUGUUCGGGUUGUCAUGCCAAUGGCACUGCCCGGUAGCUAAAUGCGGAAGAGAUAAGUGCUGAAAGCAUCUAAGCACGAAACUUGCCCCGAGAUGAGUUCUCCCUGACCCUUUAAGGGUCCUGAAGGAACGUUGAAGACGACGACGUUGAUAGGCCGGGUGUGUAAGCGCAGCGAUGCGUUGAGCUAACCGGUACUAAUGAACCGUGAGGCUUAACCUUACAACGCCGAAG